This 31-nucleotide ribosomal RNA is filed under the name Fabrea salina. RNAcentral's name for it is "partial 28S ribosomal RNA". Lineage: Eukaryota; Ciliophora; Heterotrichea; Heterotrichida; Fabreidae. The record is from RNAcentral.
GUGUCUGAGGCAAGCAAGACCACCGCUGAAC